AGCAUGGGAGAUGUUGUUGUUGGUGACAGAAGAUAGAGAGCACAGAUGGAUGAUUUGCAAAUAUAUGCAUCUCACUCCUUUGUGCUCUCUAUGCUUCCUGUCAUCAGUGUUAGCACAUACUCUCCUAGGCU
This 131-nucleotide microRNA precursor is filed under the name Fragaria vesca subsp. vesca. RNAcentral describes it as "Fragaria vesca miR156i stem-loop (fve-MIR156i)". Its record names the gene fve-MIR156i. The record is from miRBase by way of RNAcentral. Lineage: Eukaryota; Viridiplantae; Streptophyta; Magnoliopsida; Rosales; Rosaceae.